AUAUUGGACAAUGGGGGCACCCCUGAUCCAGCCAUGCCGCGUGUGUGAAGAAGGUCUUCGGUUUGUAAAGCUCUUUAAGUUGGGAGGAAGGGCUUUAGGCUCAUAUCCUGAACUUUUGACGUUACCAACAGAAAAAGCACCGGCUAACUCUGUUCCAGCAGCCGCGGUAAUACAGAGGGUGCAGGCGUUAAUCGGAAUUACUGGGAGUAAAGCGCGCGUAGGUGGUUCAGUAAGAUGGGUGUGAAAUCCCCGGGCUUAACCUGGGAACUGCUUUCAUAACUGCUGAGCUAGAGUACGGUAGAGGGUAGUGGAAUUUCCUGUGUAGAGGUGAAAUGCGUAGAUAUAGGAAGGAACACCAGUGGCGAAGGCGACUACCUGGACUGAUACUGACACUGAGGUGCGAAAGCGUGGGGAGCAAAC
Molecule: ribosomal RNA, 420 nt
Filed under: uncultured bacterium
Lineage: Bacteria
Description: partial 16S ribosomal RNA
Rfam family: Bacterial small subunit ribosomal RNA
Source: RNAcentral